GCCUGGAUGGCUCAGUUGGUUGAGCAUCUGACUUUGGCUCAGGUUAUGAUGUCACCAUUUGUGGGUUCAAGCCCUAUGUUGGGCU
This 85-nucleotide transfer RNA is filed under the name Felis catus (domestic cat). It matches the Rfam family "tRNA". From Rfam's summary of the family: Transfer RNA (tRNA) molecules are approximately 80 nucleotides in length. Their secondary structure includes four short double-helical elements and three loops (D, anti-codon, and T loops). Lineage: Eukaryota; Metazoa; Chordata; Mammalia; Carnivora; Felidae. The record is from Rfam by way of RNAcentral.